GACUAGAGAGAGAGAGAGAGAGAGAGAGAGGGAGAGAGAGAGCAGCCCAUUGAGGAAAGAUGGCUACAGUCACUGCAAACGGAGUGCAGCAGGAGAAUGGAUUCAGCACCACGAACAGCGCCGGCAGGAUGAACGGACUCACCAUCGGUCAGAACACCAUCCCCAUGAAGGACCACGACGCCAUCAAGCUUUUCAUCGGCCAGAUCCCCCGAAACCUGGAGGAAAAGGACCUGAAACCCCUGUUUGAGGAAUUCGGAAAGAUAUACGAACUCACUGUACUGAAAGACAGGUUCACGGGGAUGCAUAAAGGAUGUGCCUUUCUAACAUAUUGUGCCAGAGAGUCAGCACUGAAAGCCCAGAGCGCCCUCCAUGAACAGAAGACUCUCCCGGGGAUGAACCGGCCCAUCCAGGUGAAGCCCGCAGACAGCGAAGGACGGGGAGAAGACAGGAAGCUGUUUGUGGGGAUGCUGGGGAAGCAGCAGAGCGAGGACGACGUCCGGCGGCUGUUCGAGACCUUCGGCCAGAUCGAGGAGUGCACCGUCCUGCGAGGGCCUGAUGGGGCCAGUAAGGGUUGUGCAUUUGUCAAAUUCUCAAGUCACGCAGAAGCACAAGCGGCAAUCAACAGCUUGCACGGUGGACAGACGAUGCCGGGCGCCUCAUCCAGCCUGGUGGUCAAGUUUGCCGACACUGAUAAGGAGAGGACCCUGCGCAGGAUGCACCAGAUGGCGGGUCAGCUCGGGAUCUUCAGUCCCAUGACCAUCCAGUUUGGGGCCUAUGGCGCCUACUCUCAUGCUGUAAGUCUCAGCCCGGCGGGGGAGGAGACGCAGAUGAUGCAACAGCAAGCAGCACUGAUGGCAGCAACACAAGGGUCCUACCUGAACCCCAUGGCCGCCAUAGCCGCCGCACAGAUGCAGCAAAUGGCAGCUUUCAAUGUCAACGGUCUGGUGGCUACUCCCAUGACACCAUCCUCAGGCACCAGCACACCUCCAGGCAUCUCUGCCACUGCCGUGCCCAGCAUAGCCACUCCCAUCGGGGUGAACGGGUUCAGUGCCCUCCCGCCUCAAACCAACGGGCAGCCCACCUCUGAGCCCAUCUACACCAACGGCAUCCAUCCUUACCCAGCACAGAGUCCAACGGUGGCCGACCCGCUCCAGCAGGCUUACGCCGGCGUCCAGCACUACGCAGCAGCCUACCCUGCCGCCUAUGCGCCAAUCAGCCAAGCGUACCCCCAGCAGCCAACCAUCAUUCCCCAGCAACAGAGGGAAGGACCAGAAGGCUGCAAUUUGUUUAUUUAUCACCUGCCACAGGAGUUCGGAGAUGCCGAGCUCAUGCAAAUGUUCCUGCCCUUCGGCAACGUCAUCUCUGCCAAAGUGUUUGUGGACCGAGCGACCAAUCAGAGCAAAUGUUUUGGCUUUGUGAGUUUUGAUAACCCGUCCAGUGCUCAAGCGGCUAUCCAGGCUAUGAAUGGCUUUCAGAUAGGAAUGAAGAGGCUGAAAGUGCAGCUAAAGCGGCCAAAGGAUGCCAACCGACCUUACUGACUCGUCUGCAGUCCACAGCCAGAGUGAGGUGCUCUUUCUGCUAAAUCCACUCCUCCACAUCUGCAAUGGGGCCACACCUGAUGAAGGACCACAACACCUUAUUUCCACAAGUGCAGUAAAAGUACAAGGACUUCUUGCUCUGCUACAUAUCAUGAAGGAAGGUGGUCCCUUGAUCCUGCCGGAAGACCUGCUACAAAGACCGGGUGACUGAGAGACGGAUCCCAGAGUAGUUUUCCCCUUUUCCUUUUUUUUUUUUUUUUUUUUUUUUAAUUUCCUCGCAAAUGCCUCUUAUUUUCCCUGUUUUGCUUCGGCAUCGACAGAAGAAGAUUUUUUGCAGAGACCAACUUUUUUGCUGCUGUUUUUUAGACAUGACGGGGGAAAAAAAAACCUUUAUAGACUCAUUAUGCUCAGAGCAUGCAUACGGAUACACAUGGAACAUACUCUAAACACGCAAAAAGGAAAAGAACAAAAAAAAAAAAAUACUUUGUACAUGUAUAAAUAAGUGCAAAUGCCAACUCAAGUACUGGAGCAAACACGCAUACACAAACACACACACCAGCCUGCUGCCAUUUUGGUUUUUGUGCCUACACAGGUGUUGUGCUCUGUGACAGGGCGAGAUCUGGAUAUAGAAGAAGAUGAGGAGGAGAAUCCAGGAUAAUUUACAUGCAUCAUUCCUUAGAAAAUAGGGACCAAAGGACUAAACGCUUUUUAAAAGAAUAUAAAUAUAUAAAUAUAUAUAUAUAUUUAAAAACUCAUAACUUGUAGCUGCAAGUAUUACAAAUUACUCGUAGGUGGAAAAAAAGCAUUAAAUCAAUAUCCAGUGGCCUAUAAGUACGAGAUCAUGGAAAUAAUGUAUUCUAAAAAAAAGACUCGGUAGUGUAGGGGCUGACCUUUUUUGCCCUGGAUGCUGGUUUAGCACCAGGAUGUAGAAUAGUGCAGUAGGUUUUCGGGAGGGGGGUAAAAAAAAUCAAUGUAGAUUUUUGCUGUUGUUGAGAAAAAUACUUGAAGAAGGAGACAAAGGUGAAGGAGAAUCUGCUGGCGUCCACGACAAGCAUCGUUCACUCAACUGCCACUGGAUAUCGCACUCGUCAUGACGGAUUAGUCUUCACGCUCUCUGACAGCCCUAAAGAAAAUUGCGCCCGAUGAUAAAAGGGAGAAAAGAUUGUCAAGACAAAACAGGACUUCAAAUGUCUGAGCUGGGGGACCAUCCACUGAAAUGGCCAGGUGAAACCAGGUGUCUUGUUUUGGUCUUCAUUUGAGUGAAGUCGGAAGCAGGAGGCGACAGAAGCAGUCAGCAGUAGAAGUCCUACAAUGCUUGAGCGGAAUCUUGUUCAUGAAAAGUGUCCUCGAACACAACUACUCAUGUUUUUUUUUUUGUCUUUACAGUAGGAACUUGGUUCACUUUUGACAGCGCGCCAAAAUAUUGGGGUACCACUGGAGUAGUAAAUCUGAAUGAAACACGUUGAAAGUACACAUCCAGUUUACUUCUGGACGUGUGUGGCGCAAUUCCAGUUCAAGCUCAUCUCUGCACCGUCUGACUAAGUUUGACUCACCUUAUCCCAGUCGAGUUUAAAGUAUCACGACUGUAAUAUGGUAAUUGCAUUCAGAAGAGAGUGUUUUAUUCCUGGACAUUCGCCAUUCUAUCUAAAAAUUUGUGCCCCAGAUCUGUGCUUUGAGACGUUUGCUCUCACGACGCAUCACCCCACUGGCCAAGCAGAGGCCUACAACUCUGGCCAGUGACGCCUUGCCUCAUUUCAUCCCAGUUAUGGAACUGCUACUCAAGUCCUACUCAGCCCCACCAUGGAACUUUCAAACAGAAAACCUUAAGAGUGAGCUAUCCUCAGAUAGAUUCGCCUAGAUUUGGGUGACAGCAUUGUAGACCCAACAAUAGUGGUCGAGGAACAGACCCGGGUCAUCUGUCAAAUAGUGGAAUAAUGGUCCUUUCACCUCCAUUUAUUGAUGAACCUGUUAUGAAAAGCCAGACGAAUAAUCCCAAAACAAAAGCUUGCUUUUUCCCUCCGGUGAAUGCGACAUGCUUUUAAAGCAUUUAGAGCACUACAGUGGGCAAAAGAGACUAGCGCAGAAGCUAAUGCGAGGGUGCCACCAAGCAUCACUUUCAAUGCUAAAAGCCUCCGAGUGACAAAAGCUGCCUCCACCUAUUCAAUCAAAAUGUAAAAGUACUUUUAGCUGUUGUUCAAAAUUGGUUUGCUUCAUUUCCGUCGCGUAAACAAGCUAAAAAGCGUGUAAUUUAGACCCGACCGUCUGCUAAGUAUCACCACGUCUGGAGCUAGGCGGGACAGUAUGAAGUAUUCUGGCACUGCAACGUGUUGAUUUAGAGUCCAACAGCCUUCAUUUUGACUGUUUUAGCACCGCGGAUGGAGACUCUUGUGAAAAAGCAGAUCAAUAUGUUGGGAAUGAGUCUUGAGGGAGGAGCGAUUCUGCUUCACUGUCGAGCACCGGCUCACAUCCGUACACAGAGGCGCUCACAGUCCUGACAGCUGGCAGUAGGAAAUCGGAGCAUUGAUAAAGUGUGUGCGGAAAGAACUCAGCAGCUGAACAGAACAUUAGGAUCCUUCUGACUAAUGUUUCUGGGUCGGUGCCCAAAAUUUUAAGUUGUAAUCAAGCUGGCAGAGAGAGGGAGUAUAUUGAUGCUACUCCUUCAUGUGGAUCAUCAAUUCGCCAGCUCCAUCAGAUCUAUGAAUUCAUCAAAGCAUGUUAACAGUGGGGGGAAAAAAAAAGGCCCUCGAUUCAUGAGUCCGCCAUGCUGAAGCCCCCAGAGGUUGACUGAACAGUUCAGCGGCUCUCUCUGUGUAACAAGGUUCUCGAAACCGGCUAAUACCCUUCAAUUAUCUCCAGCACCAUAUUAGACAUGCUAUUUCACCUUUGGCUCUAAAUCGCACGCUGAUCACCAGCCUCUAUACAUUAGCAGCAACCAAGUGAAAAAUCGGCUGGAUAAUCACUUGGACCCAAUGACGGGAGGGUCGCUCUCUUCGCAUGCUCGCAGAUGACAGAAGGGAAGAUUAGCACGAAUUAUGUUAGCGCCAACUCCCUGGCACGGCUGCUGACAGCUGACCUGGCACUGGUACCGCCGCCAAAUUCGCUCGUGAAAAUCACGAAGAAGCAUGUAGGACGAAGCCGCCAUUAUGAUCUGCAUGUUUAUAAUGGCAGGGAUGGAAAACGCCAGGAAGAAAAGCCAAAAGCUCGAGCGCGACGAGAACAAAAGAAGCAGCUGUGUUUUCGCGCUCCUACUUUUAGCACAUAAUUGGGUUUUAGAUAUCUCCCACGGAGGCAGCGUUUUUUUUUUUCUCCAAAAUAACUCUGUAUACACUUCCCCCAUCUAUCUGGGACACUUACUUUUGUUCUGCUUUUAAAUCCAAGAAAAUGUGUGGGGUAAAAGCUCACCCUCAAUAGGCAAGGCUCAAUGCCUGUGAGGUGUUAAUCUGAGAGCUGAUGUUAUGCAAGGCUAUGAUAGGCAACCCGAUGUCGACCAACCCUUGAAGAACAUAUCAUCACUCCCAUGGCAACAUAGUAGUAGUAGAAGUAGUAGUAGUGGUAACGUUACUAAGGAUGAGAGUCAGUUAAGGGGUUAGAAAUGGGAAAUGACAUCCAAAAUUAGUUCUCUCUGCACACACGAUCCCCUGCCUCUCAAACCCUACCUCCCACUGAAUGGGGGAAACGUGCUUUUAGUCCAUUGAAAUACAUGUACCUCAACAUGCUACACUGAAGGCUACAUUUGUUGUCAGUAUAGGACACAAAAGUUGUCUUUCCCAACAUCAAUACAUUGUUGGAGUGAGGAUGUGUUGCUUCAUAAAUGAACCCACCUUCACCUUCACCUUCUUCUGCCGCAUAUCCGGAGUCAGGUCGUGGAGGCAGAUUUCGCCGAAAGGAAGCCCAAACUUCCCGAUCCGCACAAACCUCCUCCAGCUCUUCCCAGGGAAUCCCGAGGCGUUCCCAUCCCAGACAAGAGACAUAAUCUCUCCAGCGAGUCCUGGGUCUUCCCCGCGGUCUCCUCCUGGUAGGACAUGCCCAGAACACCUCCCCAGGGAGGCAUCCAAGGGGCAUCUGGGUCAGAUGCCCGAGCCACCUCAACUGGUUCCUUUCGAUGUGGAUGAGCAGCGGCUCCACCCCGAGCUCCUCCCGGAUGACCACACUCCUCACCCCAUCUCUAAGGGUGCACCCAGCCACCCUGCGGAGGAAACUCAUCUCAGCCACUUGUAUCCACCCAAUCGAUUUCAAUUCAAACCCACUAGUUCUAUUCAUCUAUGUGGAUUCUGACAUUGAAGUCAUUUAGGGCUAUAAAGCCAACAAAUCCGAUGGUUCUUCGGAGAGUUCUACUUUACUCAUCUGGUCUAAUGUAUGCCUGCAAACAAUGAGGCAUUUUAGGAAAUAGCAAAGCGAAGGCUCGAAGGUGCUCACUCCUUAACCUCGAAAGCUUCCACAACAUCCUAUAGCAGCCAGUUUAAAAUGUGGCGGUUAAGGGCAUGAUGAGUUUGUGUUGUCAUAAAACAAGUAUUGAGGAAUUCUUCAUUAACAAGGUGCAACCGGAAGAGCACCUCACACUACCCAAAACUACUCUAGCUGACAUUCCCUUCCUCUCCAACUGAGCACAAGAAAUUAAUAAACCCCCUUUUCUCCCAGUUGCCAGUGCAUCAGAGCUCAUGUGGCCUCAAGAGAAUCUUCCAUGCACAAAGGACCCCAACCCCGGCCGAGUCUCCAACCCCUUGGGUGCAGAAAACUCGCCCGAAAAUAGCAGUGAUUGUCAAGGAAAGGAAGUGAAAUGUAAUUGACUGAAAGUGGAAAGAUAAUUAAAGGGACCUGUUGGACAGGAGGGAUGAAAUUAAUGCUUCUGACUUAAUGGCUGCUUUGGGAGGCGAGACGAUCCGUCGUUCCACUUUAGUGUGGGGAAGCUGUGGAAAUAGGAUUUGGUUGGGGAAAAGGGCAGAGAUGGAAGUGGGAGGUGCUGAAGCUGAAACUCCUCUAAAAACUCUCAGGGCAUCAGGCGAUAUGAUGUCAUGUUUAGUGGAGCGGUUUUGGGUCGCUAGAAUCCUGCUUCCAUUCAAUUCGAUCGGAAUCAAAACAAGACACCGUCGCCCGGUCCGAAAAUGCACAGUGGUAGCUUCAAGUCUGGCUUGGAUUGAGAGUAAUAAAGACUUUUUUUUUCAAUUUCUUAUUGUAAAUAUCCUGUUUAAAAAAAAGAAGGUUGUACAGAUGAGCGUGUCGAGAAGCCCAACUCUGUGGAACAAUGAUGUCAUAUAAAAAUGUGUCCACAGCAGUGUCGGGAUUUAGGGAAGCCCUCUUAAGCCCCGCUUCUGGUCAAACCGUGUGUCCAACAACUCUUAAGCAUCGGACCAAGAUGGUACAAAAGUGAAGAUUUGUUGCACACGUGCGCGUUUUCCUGGCAGGACCGACCACCCGAGUCAUCGGAUCAGUCCGAGGGACGCCGACGAACAAACGUGGCGGCUGCGCUCAUCCAUCAGCAUGCUCGACAGAGUGGAGAAACAGAGUCAGCGGCCGUCAUGAAUAUCUGGGGCCUCGGACGGAAAAUGUAACAUGAAAAUGUACAUAAACUGUUUUCAAAACGGGACAUUUCAUACACAGCCAGAACCACUCGGUCAGUGUGGACUGCAGGACGCCGGCCGAACAAGAGAGCGAUGACAGUAGAUCCCAGCUGAACUCUCCACGACGCCAGCUCGACCCGACCUGCCACCGCUCUGACCACACCGCUGCAUUACCCCUGUACAUACAAUAUAGCUUAUUUUUCAAUUUUGUUCUUUAUAGGGCAUACGAUAGAUCAUGCUCAGACAUUUAAAAAAAGAAAAGAAAAGAAAAGCUAAUAUAUUGUUUCACUUCAACUUAGAAGAGCAAGCUACACAAUAAUUUAUCAAAAGAUGGUUUUAUUUCUUGUACAGUGAAGUACUCAAAAAAAAGUUGGAUUUUAUACUCAUGUUGGGAAAAUUCUUUAUUUAUUCUCCUCGACUGAAGCUGGGACUGACCCAUUGUCAUGAGGUUUGCUCCGACGUUCUUUGAUCAUCUCUGUUGUUGUUUCUUUAUCAUGUUUUGAGGCUGCACAAUCCCUGAGUGAAAACCCCACAUGGAUGGGUGAGUUCAAAGAGAUGUUGCUCACAGCGGGCUCUUAAAUCCAUACAAUUAAUCAAACUCAUUUAACAAGGUUGAUGGUCGUGGGGAAAUUUGCACAGUUCCAAUGAAAGUGGUGCAUGAUCAAAAAGAAUCUCAGCUGAGGCCUUGUGAGGAGACUUUUGCAGAACAAGGCUGUUUUUGUUAAAACCCACAUUCUUUGUCUUUUUGAAAAGUUGUUGAACAUGUAUCAGGGUUUUAUAUCCUCUGUUUCUACUUCCUUGAGCCCUAGAUAUACUCCGCCGCAGCUAGACAGAAGGUGUUUUGAACGACGAACACGGAUGUUUGUUCAACAAUGCGUCUCAAACACAACAUGUCCACUCAUUUAAAAUAGUUCAGACAGUGCUAGGUAGAGGUGUCCUGCCAGCCUGAACUAAAUUUGGAAAUUCGCAUCCACACUCCAAGCAAGGAGGGCAUCCUCCCCAUGACAAUGAGAAAUGACCAAAGUCAAAGAUGACUAUGAGAAGUUUUACAGCUUUGGCAACCACAUUUUAUUUGAAAACCUGAUGGCAUUAACAUGAGGCUCGAGCAGUGGCUCUGAUCUACGCCGAUACUUUCACCUUAUGCUCAACGUUACAUACCGAUCCGCAUACAGACGAAGCCUUCUGUCCGUGCUCUGCGUUCAUUUCGUCCAAAACUCUGCAUGUUUCCACAAAGCUUACGGAUACAGACCAAAAACAGAGCAGUACCACAGGAAACCGUUGUUGUUACUACACGAUACAAAGCUCCAAUGUAACAUGAAGAAGACAGCAACGGCAGAAAAUCUUCAUCCUCCAGUCAUGACGCAUGUAACAGCCUCACCGACCACCGCCUCCUUUAACGCUUUCACUGUUUCCUCUUUUGUGCAAGAGGUACGUUAUCAGUACUCCUUCCAGAGGGGCCAUGUUUGUCUUGGAGUUUGUUGUUAAACUUUUGACUCUGGGCUGCUCCCUCUGGUGGCUAUAUUGGUGAACAGCAAUAGUAACGCCAAGAACCCAUGGAAGCAUGUGAUCAGUGACGGUAACAUCGUUUGAAACGGACAAAAAAAGGGAGAUCCCACAUGUUAAAACAGUCAGAAAAGUGACAGGCCUUGCAUCACACCUGCUGUCAUUACGUCCAGUAUUUCUAGGGCUGAAGACUUUCCAUUAAAAUGGUGCGUUCAAGGGAAAGUUGCUGAGAAUGUUUUCCUUUAUAUCAGGUUGUUAAUGUGAGGAUGGAAUUCUGCCUUAAACCAAACUUGCUCCCGCAAACUGGGAGCACGGUUUGGACGCACUGGAGGGGACGCGAAAAAAGAAACUUUGUGAAAGACAUUUUGCCUCAAUUCCAUUCCGCCUCCACCUCCAUCGGUUACAAGGACCAAAUCGCAAACAAACUCAGCCAACUGAGCGGUUUGCUUCAAUCAAGCAAUCAAAGCCUUCAGAGAAUUCUCAUUGGAAAUUUCCUUCCACGAAUCGUUGCAUUCCCAGCUUCGCGAUCUAAUUUCAUCACCUCCAUUUGUUCUCAUGCAUUAUUAAUUGAAAUAUAUUUAUUCUCAGUGAGUGGAAUUUCAUCAUUAGUCUUGAACAAACAGAUUCACUGUUUCUUUUUGUUCGAAACAGAGAUGUAAUUUGAAUUGGCUCGGGUCCCUUUACCCUGAUUCGGGGUGAUAUCGCCCAUAGUGCUCCUGAACUCUGUAGUUCUCUAGUUCAUUAUAUCCUGCUUAGACUAAAAUAAAGCACAGUC
This is an RNA transcript of Synchiropus splendidus (mandarinfish), 9374 nucleotides long. It is a transcript of the gene named CUGBP Elav-like family member 6, with no coding region annotated. The record is from RefSeq and is a predicted model, not a curated record. NCBI's taxonomy places the organism in Eukaryota, Metazoa, Chordata, Actinopteri, Syngnathiformes, Callionymidae. The transcript has 14 exons.